Molecule: long non-coding RNA, 794 nt
Organism: Malus domestica (apple)
Lineage: Eukaryota; Viridiplantae; Streptophyta; Magnoliopsida; Rosales; Rosaceae
Source: RefSeq, a predicted model, not a curated record
UAUGUAGAAUUGGAGUGUGUGCCACUGAGGCCCACACCUCUGUUCCCUUCCUCUGUUCCCUCUUCUAUCGGUCUCAUUAUGCUCUCAGUCGAACUCCCUCACUUCUCUCUCAUUUUUUCCCCUCAUCCUUAUCUCCCUCUAGUCUCUUUUCCCCGAGCCACACAACUAUUAACCACCACCUUCUCCGACGACUUUAAACACCAAACCACCACCAUCUCGUCUCCAAACACAAGACUAGUGCCCAAACCCUUGACUCGAACCUCAAAUUGGAGAACCACACGUCUCGAACCCGAGAGAAUUCCGGCGAGUUCAUCGCCUUCCCGACCGAGCUUUUUCGAGCUUUUCCCGCCCAAAUCUCGUUGAAGACGAUGAUAUUGAUACCAUAAACGAACUCUUCACAGUCCUAGGGACCAGAUUCGAGCUUUGUUGGUUGAAUCUGUCAUGGAUUCGUAGAGACCCAAACUGGCCGUGACUUUCAAGCCAUUUUCCAGCCACCUCCAGCCAUCCUUUGGCCUCGAUUUAGGGAAAAACUAUUUGAAGGAAUACUUAAACAAAAAUGGAAGAUCUUCUCCUGAUGAUCAUCUUCAUUAAUUCGUUUAUGGAGCAGCAGAGAUUCGAUGAGGUGCAAGGCUUGCUGGGGAAGAUGCAUCUGUCCAAAAAUGUCUGCUUUCAAGUUCUUUUUGCAUAGAGAUGAAAUAUGUAACAUUACAAUAUAUGUUUGUGAGAUUGAGAAUGAAUUGUAGGCCUUCUACAUUUUAUGAAAAUUAAGAAAAAAAAACCUCAAUUUCAGUUUC